This 465-nucleotide ribosomal RNA is filed under the name uncultured bacterium. RNAcentral's name for it is "partial 16S ribosomal RNA". It matches the Rfam family "Bacterial small subunit ribosomal RNA", at positions 28 to 507 of the family's 1533-position model. The record is from RNAcentral.
GACGAACGCUGGCGGCGUGCUUAACACAUGCAAGUCGAACGGAAAGGCCCCCUUGUGGGGUACUCGAGUGGCGAACGGGUGAGUAACACGUGAGUAACCUACCCUUGACUUUGGGAUAACUUCUGGAAACUGGGGCUAAUACCGGAUAGGAGCUCCUGCUGCAUGGUGGGGGUUGGAAAGUUUCGGCGGUUGGGGAUGGACUCGCGGCUUAUCAGCUUGUUGGUGGGGUAGUGGCUCACCAAGGCUUUGACGGGUAGCCGGCCUGAGAGGGUGACCGGCCACAUUGGGACUGAGAUACGGCCCAGACUCCUACGGGAGGCAGCAGUGGGGAAUAUUGCACAAUGGGCGGAAGCCUGAUGCAGCAACGCCGCGUGCGGGAUGACGGCCUUCGGGUUGUAAACCGCUUUCGCCUGUGACGAAGCGUGAGUGACGGUAAUGGGUAAAGAAGCACCGGCUAACUACGUG